UGAGGAAUAUUGGUCAAUGGGCGAGAGCCUGAACCAGCCAAGUCGCGUGAGGGAAUAAGGCCCUACGGGUCGUAAACCUCUUUUGCCGGGGAGCAAGUCGGGGUUCGUGAGCCCUGAUGGAGAGUACCCGGAGAAAAAGCAUCGGCUAACUCCGUGCCAGCAGCCGCGGUAAUACGGAGGAUGCGAGCGUUAUCCGGAUUUAUUGGGUUUAAAGGGUGCGUAGGCGGGCUGGCAAGUCGGCGGUCAAAUGUCGGGGCUCAACCCCGGCCUGCCGUCGCAAACUGCCAGGUCUUGCAGGUGAGUCGAGAAAGGCAGGCAGGAAUGGCGUGGUGUAGCGGUGAAAUGCAUAGAUAUCACGCAGAACCCCGAUUGCGAAGGCAGCCUGCCGGCGCUCAACUGACGCUGAGGCACGAAAGUGCGGGGAUCGAACAGGAUUAGAUACC
Molecule: ribosomal RNA, 443 nt
Filed under: uncultured bacterium
Lineage: Bacteria
Description: bacterial SSU rRNA
Rfam family: Bacterial small subunit ribosomal RNA
Source: RNAcentral